Molecule: ribosomal RNA, 205 nt
Filed under: Staphylococcus aureus
Lineage: Bacteria; Bacillati; Bacillota; Bacilli; Caryophanales; Staphylococcaceae
Description: partial 23S ribosomal RNA
Rfam family: Bacterial large subunit ribosomal RNA
Source: RNAcentral
UUCCGUCGGAAUCUGGGAGGACCAUCUCCUAAGGCUAAAUACUCUCUAGUGACCGAUAGUGAACCAGUACCGUGAGGGAAAGGUGAAAAGCACCCCGGAAGGGGAGUGAAAUAGAACCUGAAACCGUGUGCUUACAAGUAGUCAGAGCCCGUUAAUGGGUGAUGGCGUGCCUUUUGUAGAAUGAACCGGCGAGUUACGAUUUGAU